AUGUAUCAUUUACACUGAUGAGUUGUUUGUAUAAUCAUUCUAUCUUAAUUAUUUAUUUUUAUUAGUAGGUGUAUGUUUAAUUGGUUGUGUUUGAAAAUUUUAUUGAUGUAGUAUUAUGAAAGAAUAGUUUAUGUAUUAUUUACUGUGAAGGGUUGAAAAAUUUAAAUAGUAGAAAAAAUUUAUUUGUACCUUCUGUAUAAGGGAUUUAUUAUAUAAGAAUUAAAUAUUUAUUUUUCCCGAAACCGUAUGAGUUAUCAUGAUAUAGUUAUUCAUGUUUUAGAAUCAUUUUAAUAUUAUGAUAGUAAUGAAAUGUUAGGCGAAUACGGGGAUAUCUGGUUGUCUUAAAAUAUAAUUUAAUUAUUUACUAUUAUAAUUUAUGUGUUUAUGUCAUAAAGAUUAAAUAUAGUGUUAACAAUAGAGGGGCCUAUCUCUUUAUUAUUUUAAUAUUUUAAUAAGUUUUAUAAUACUAUAGGCUUAGAAGUAGCUAUGAUUUAAAAUUGAGUUAUAUCUUUUACUAAUAGAUUUUUUUAUAAUUUCAUUAUAAUGAGACAAUAUAUAUUAAUUAUAUUUAUAUGUUUAUUAUGUUAGUAUUAGUAAUUGUUUUUUGUAUUUUUUAUGUAAAUCUAUUAUAAUAGCAUUUUAGGGAACUCGGCAACAGGUUAUUCGCCUGUUUAUCAAAAACAUGUCUUUUUGUAUUAUUACUAUUAAAAGUCUGGCCUGCCCGGUGAUAAAUAAGUUUAACGGCCGCGGUAACUUGACCGUGCGAAGGUAGCAUAAUCAUUAGUCUUUUAAUUGGAGGCUGGAAUGAAAGGUUUGACGAAUAAAUACUUUCUUUUUAGUUUUAUUUGAAUUUUAGAUUUUUGUGAGGACGCAAAAUUUUUAUUAAAAGACGAGAAGACCCUAUCAAGUUUUACUAUAUUUUUAUUUUUAUAUUUAUUACUAAUUUAUUAUAUAUAGUUUUGUUGGGGCGACAGUUAUGUUUUAGGUAACAUAAUUAUUUAAUAUUGAAUAAAUGACUAAACGUUAUGUGAUCCAAUUUAUUUUGAUAAUAAGAGUAAAUUACUGUAGGGAUAACAGCGUUAUUAUAUUAGAUAGUUCAUAUAGAUAAUAUAGUUUGCGACCUCGAUGUUGUAUUAAGAUUCCUAUUAGUUGAAGUAGAUUAAUAAGGUCGUCUGUUCGACGGUUAAAUUCUUACAUGAUUUGAGUUCAGAUCGGUGUGAGCCAGGUCGGUUUCUAUCUUUAAUAUUUUUUAGUUAUUUUUAGUACGAAAGGAUUGAAUUAUAAGAAUUAUUCUAUUUUGAAGUUAUGGAGGGCGUUAUUAAUUAUACAAGAAGAAGUUAUGUUUUAUAAAAUUAAUAAUUA
Molecule: ribosomal RNA, 1362 nt
Filed under: Mecistocephalus marmoratus
Lineage: Eukaryota; Metazoa; Arthropoda; Chilopoda; Geophilomorpha; Mecistocephalidae
Description: 16S ribosomal RNA
Rfam family: Archaeal large subunit ribosomal RNA (bases 883-1243)
Source: RNAcentral